This 75-nucleotide transfer RNA is filed under the name Halocarpus bidwillii. RNAcentral's name for it is "tRNA-Val". It matches the Rfam family "tRNA". Rfam says of the family: Transfer RNA (tRNA) molecules are approximately 80 nucleotides in length. The record is from RNAcentral. Lineage: Eukaryota; Viridiplantae; Streptophyta; Pinopsida; Araucariales; Podocarpaceae.
AGGGAUAUAGCUCAGUGGUGGCAGAGCGGCACCGUGACAUGGUGACGGCCGUCGGUUCGAUUCCGAUUAUCCCUA